GAUGAACGCUGGCGGCGUGCCUAAUACAUGCAAGUCGAGCGAACGGACGAGAAGCUUGCUUCUCUGAUGUUAGCGGCGGACGGGUGAGUAACACGUGGAUAACCUACCUAUAAGACUGGGAUAACUUCGGGAAACCGGAGCUAAUACCGGAUAAUAUUUUGAACCGCAUGGUUCAAAAGUGAAAGACGGUCUUGCUGUCACUUAUAGAUGGAUCCGCGCUGCAUUAGCUAGUUGGUAAGGUAACGGCUUACCAAGGCAACGAUGCAUAGCCGACCUGAGAGGGUGAUCGGCCACACUGGAACUGAGACACGGUCCAGACUCCUACGGGAGGCAGCAGUAGGGAAUCUUCCGCAAUGGGCGAAGGCCUGACGGAGCAACGCCGCGUGAGUGAUGAAGGUCUUCGGAUCGUAAAACUCUGUUAUUAGGGAAGAACAUAUGUGUAUGUAACUGUGCACAUCUUGACGGUACCUAAUCAGAAAGCCACGGCCAACUACGUGCCAGCAGCCGCGGUAAUACGUAGGUGGCAAGCGUUAUCCGGAAUUAUUGGGCGUAAAGCGCGCGUAGGCGGUUUUUUAAGUCUGAUGUGAAAGCCCACGGCUCAACCGUGGAGGGUCAUUGGAAACUGGAAAACUUGAGUGCAGAAGAGGAAAGUGGAAUUCCAUGUGUAGCGGUGAAAUGCGCAGAGAUAUGGAGGAACACCAGUGGCGAAGGCGACUUUCUGGUCUGUAACUGACGCUGAUGUGCGAAAGCGUGGGGAUCAAACAGGAUUAGAUACCCUGGUAGUCCACGCCGUAAACGAUGAGUGCUAAGUGUUAGGGGGUUUCCGCCCCUUAGUGCUGCAGCUAACGCAUUAAGCACUCCGCCUGGGGAGUACGACCGCAAGGUUGAAACUCAAAGGAAUUGACGGGGACCCGCACAAGCGGUGGAGCAUGUGGUUUAAUUCGAAGCAACGCGAAGAACCUUACCAAAUCUUGACAUCCUUUGACAACUCUAGAGAUAGAGCCUUCCCCUUCGGGGGACAAAGUGACAGGUGGUGCAUGGUUGUCGUCAGCUCGUGUCGUGAGAUGUUGGGUUAAGUCCCGCAACGAGCGCAACCCUUAAGCUUAGUUGCCAUCAUUAAGUUGGGCACUCUAAGUUGACUGCCGGUGACAAACCGGAGGAAGGUGGGGAUGACGUCAAAUCAUCAUGCCCCUUAUGAUUUGGGCUACACACGUGCUACAAUGGACAAUACAAAGGGCAGCGAAACCGCGAGGUCAAGCAAAUCCCAUAAAGUUGUUCUCAGUUCGGAUUGUAGUCUGCAACUCGACUACAUGAAGCUGGAAUCGCUAGUAAUCGUAGAUCAGCAUGCUACGGUGAAUACGUUCCCGGGUCU
Molecule: ribosomal RNA, 1372 nt
Filed under: uncultured bacterium
Lineage: Bacteria
Description: bacterial SSU rRNA
Rfam family: Bacterial small subunit ribosomal RNA
Source: RNAcentral